This 497-nucleotide ribosomal RNA is filed under the name uncultured bacterium. RNAcentral's name for it is "partial 16S ribosomal RNA". It matches the Rfam family "Bacterial small subunit ribosomal RNA", at positions 28 to 507 of the family's 1533-position model. The record is from RNAcentral.
GAUGAACGCUGGCGGCGUGCCUAAUACAUGCAAGUCGAGCGAACAGACGAGGAGCUUGCUCCUCUGACGUUAGCGGCGGACGGGUGAGUAACACGUGGAUAACCUACCUAUAAGACUGGGAUAACUUCGGGAAACCGGAGCUAAUACCGGAUAAUAUAUUGAACCGCAUGGUUCAAUAGUGAAAGACGGUUUUGCUGUCACUUAUAGAUGGAUCCGCGCCGCAUUAGCUGGUUGGUAAGGUAACGGCUUACCAAGGCAACGAUGCGUAGCCGACCUGGGAGGGUGAUCGGCCACACUGGAACUGAGACACGGUCCAGACUCCUACGGGAGGCAGCAGUAGGGAAUCUUCCGCAAUGGGCGAAAGCCUGACGGAGCAACGCCGCGUGAGUGAUGAAGGUCUUCGGAUCGUAAAACUCUGUUAUUAGGGAAGAACAAAUGUGUAAGUAACUAUGCACGUCUUGACGGUACCUAAUCAGAAAGCCACGGCUAACUACGUG